AGAGUUUGAUCCUGGCUCAGAUUGAACGCUGGCGGCAGGCCUAACACAUGCAAGUCGAGCGGUAGCACAGAGAGCUUGCUCUCGGGUGACGAGCGGCGGACGGGUGAGUAAUGUCUGGGAAACUGCCUGAUGGAGGGGGAUAACUACUGGAAACGGUAGCUAAUACCGCAUAACGUCGCAAGACCAAAGUGGGGGACCUUCGGGCCUCAUGCCAUCAGAUGUGCCCAGAUGGGAUUAGCUAGUAGGUGGGGUAAUGGCUCACCUAGGCGACGAUCCCUAGCUGGUCUGAGAGGAUGACCAGCCACACUGGAACUGAGACACGGUCCAGACUCCUACGGGAGGCAGCAGUGGGGAAUAUUGCGCAAUGGGCGAAAGCCUGACGCAGCGACGCCGCGUGAGGGAUGAAGGUUUUCGGAUCGUAAACCUCUGUCAGAAGGGAAGAAACUGCCGUGCUCUAAUCAUCAUGGCAUUGACGGUACCUUCAAAGGAAGCACCGGCUAACUCCGUGCCAGCAGCCGCGGUAA
RNAcentral lists this ribosomal RNA (524 nucleotides) under uncultured bacterium. Its description in RNAcentral is "bacterial SSU rRNA". It matches the Rfam family "Bacterial small subunit ribosomal RNA", at positions 8 to 523 of the family's 1533-position model. The record is from RNAcentral.